UUCCUCUUGUUUGUGCUGUAAUGCCUUCUUAUCAAAAUUGAUAUGACACACUUAGAGAUGUGAUUUUGGUGUGUAACUUUUCAGAACAGAGAUACCAUUUCUAUAUAUGCUUUUGUAGUAGUAGAAUUAGAAUAAGUAAAGUUGGAAAAUGAAAAAUGAUCACAAAAUAACUUUGUCUUUACAUAAGCAAUAGUUUUUAAGUAGAUGAUCAUAAUUUUUCAAUGAGUUUUCUCAAAAAGGUUGUGUCACACACUCCUUUCGUGAAAGGAACAUGGUCAGAAAUAAGCAACAAACAGCACAAUUCCUCAUCACUCAGUGAAAGUUAAAAAGGUAUAAAAGAUAUAGAUGCUAGUGGAUUUUCCCAAUAAUUGUGAGUUUUCUUCUGGAAAAUUCAAAGAGAGUGGCUUAACAACAGUAGUAGUGGGCAACCUUAUUAUAAGGGAAAGCUUCACAUUACACCUUCAUUCUGCAAAAGUAACCCAGGUAGGGAUGCAUAAUCAUGUCAUUUUUGGCUAGAACUCUAGAACAACAAAAGCAGAUGUGAAUGGGACAUUUUUUGAUGGGGUUUCUAUAAAUUCUUAACCAAUAAAAGUAAAUCCUUUCUUUGAGACUUAAUACUUUGAUUUCUAAUGGAUUUAUGAACAAUUAUUUUAUAUUGCUUUUCUUUCUAGUUGAUGGUUCUUGAUAGUAUUUAAUAAUAAAGUUGGGGGUUUUAUUGUCAAAAAGAGAGGCUAUUGUAAUAAUAUUUUUUUCUCAAAGAAAAAACAGCAGAUUUGCCCAGGUAGACUGAACAAUCUAUUGUCCUAAAGCACAUAUUAUUAUGAAUAAACUCAGGAAACCAUUUGUAUG
Molecule: long non-coding RNA, 849 nt
Filed under: Bos taurus (domestic cattle)
Lineage: Eukaryota; Metazoa; Chordata; Mammalia; Artiodactyla; Bovidae
Description: long non-coding RNA NONBTAT026572
Source: RNAcentral